AAAUCAUUUUGGGGACAAUUUAUGAUUAAUCCUUUGUAUCUCUCCCAAGCUUCGUAUAAGGACUCCCCCACAUGUUGCUCAAAGUUUUAUAUGGGCUUCCUGAGUUU
This is a small nucleolar RNA of Lactuca sativa (garden lettuce), 107 nucleotides long. NCBI's taxonomy places the organism in Eukaryota, Viridiplantae, Streptophyta, Magnoliopsida, Asterales, Asteraceae. The record is from RefSeq and is a predicted model, not a curated record.